Molecule: ribosomal RNA, 169 nt
Filed under: uncultured bacterium
Lineage: Bacteria
Description: partial 16S ribosomal RNA
Rfam family: Bacterial small subunit ribosomal RNA
Source: RNAcentral
AGUUGGAUUCGCUAGUAAUCGCGCAUCAGCCAUGGCGCGGUGAAUACGUUCCCGGGCCUUGUACACACCGCCCGUCAAGCCAUGGGAGCCGGGGGCGCCUGAAGUCCGGGACCGCGAGGACCGGCCUAGGGCGAAACUGGUAACUGGGGCUAAGUCGUAACAAGGUACC